GAACGCAUCUUGUGCUUCUUGGUAUUCCAAGAAGCAUGCCUGUUUGAGUGUCAUUAAAUUCUCAACCAUAUCAAUUGUUCUUUGAUGUGGAUUUGGAUAUUGGGGGUCUAUUUUUGCAGGCCUUUUUUUAAAGUCUGCUCCCCUUAAAUGAAUUAGUGGUUACUUUGGCAGAACCUACUGAAGGUAUGAUAAUUAUCUAUACCUUUUGGUAGUGUCCCUGUGUUUUAAAGCUGCUUCUAAUAAAUGAUAAAUCUUGAUAUAUUUGAUCUCAAAUCAGGUAGGAUUACCCGCUGAACUUAAG
Molecule: unclassified non-coding RNA, 301 nt
Filed under: Inocybe calida
Lineage: Eukaryota; Fungi; Basidiomycota; Agaricomycetes; Agaricales; Inocybaceae
Description: sequence contains 5.8S rRNA gene
Rfam family: 5.8S ribosomal RNA (bases 1-53)
Source: RNAcentral